UAAUAAGUGUUUUAUGGCACUUUUUAAAUCCAUAUCCACCUUGUGUGCAAUGUCAGUCGAUCUUCUUCAUGGAGAUCGACCAAACAUCAACCUUUAUUUUUUAACUCUUUGUCUGAAAAAUAUUAUGAAUAAAACAAUUCAAAAUA
Molecule: unclassified non-coding RNA, 146 nt
Filed under: soil metagenome
Description: partial internal transcribed spacer 1
Source: RNAcentral